Molecule: transfer RNA, 73 nt
Filed under: Ictidomys tridecemlineatus (thirteen-lined ground squirrel)
Lineage: Eukaryota; Metazoa; Chordata; Mammalia; Rodentia; Sciuridae
Description: Spermophilus tridecemlineatus (thirteen-lined ground squirrel) tRNA
Rfam family: tRNA
About the family: Transfer RNA (tRNA) molecules are approximately 80 nucleotides in length. Their secondary structure includes four short double-helical elements and three loops (D, anti-codon, and T loops).
Source: Rfam by way of RNAcentral
GGUGAUAUAGCUUAGUUGGUAGAGUGCUUGCCUAGCAUGCAGAUGGCCCUGGGUUCAAUCCCCAGUACUCCCC